RNAcentral lists this non-coding RNA (30 nucleotides) under Mus musculus (house mouse). Lineage: Eukaryota; Metazoa; Chordata; Mammalia; Rodentia; Muridae. The record is from RNAcentral.
UUCCNGGAAAUACUGGUUCCUACUUUUGGA